GAUGAACGCUGGCGGCGUGCCUAAUACAUGCAAGUCGAGCGAACAGACGAGGAGCUUGCUCCUCUGACGUUAGCGGCGGACGGGUGAGUAGCACGUGGAUAACCUACCUAUAAGACUGGGAUAACUUCGGGAAACCGGAGCUAAUACCGGAUAAUAUAUUGAACCGCAUGGUUCAAUAGUGAAAGACGGUUUUGCUGUCACUUAUAGAUGGAUCCGCGCCGCAUUAGCUAGUUGGUAAGGUAACGGCUUACCAGGGCGACGAUGCGUAGCCGACCUGAGAGGGUGAUCGGCCACACUGGAACUGAGACACGGUCCAGACUCCUACGGGAGGCAGCAGUAGGGAAUCUUCCGCAGUGGGCGAAAGCCUGACGGAGCAACGCCGCGUGAGUGAUGAAGGUCUUCGGAUCGUAAAACUCUGUUAUUAGGGAAGAACAAAUGUGUAAGUAACUAUGCACGUCUUGACGGUACCUAAUCAGAAAGCCACGGCUAACUACGU
RNAcentral lists this ribosomal RNA (496 nucleotides) under uncultured bacterium. Its description in RNAcentral is "partial 16S ribosomal RNA". It matches the Rfam family "Bacterial small subunit ribosomal RNA", at positions 28 to 506 of the family's 1533-position model. The record is from RNAcentral.